AUUGAACGCUGGCGGCAGGCCUAACACAUGCAAGUCGAGCGGAUGAAGGGAGCUUGCUCCUGGAUUCAGCGGCGGACGGGUGAGUAAUGCCUAGGAAUCUGCCUGGUAGUGGGGGAUAACGUCCGGAAACGGGCGCUAAUACCGCAUACGUCCUGAGGGAGAAAGUGGGGGAUCUUCGGACCUCACGCUAUCAGAUGUGCCUAGGUGGGAUUAGCUAGUUGGUGGGGUAAAGGCCUACCAAGGCGACGAUCCGUAACUGGUCUGAGAGGGUGAUCGGUCAAACGGGGACUGAGACAAGGUCCAGACUCAUACGGGAGGCAGCAGUAGGGAAUCUUCAGCAAUGGGCGAAAGCAUGAAGGAGCAACGCUGCGGGAGUGAAGAAGGUAUGCGGAUCGUAAAGUUCUGUUAUUAGGGAAGAAGAAAGGGGUAGGAAACAAUUCACGACGUGACGGUACCUAAUCAGAAAGCCACGGCGAACUACGUG
Molecule: ribosomal RNA, 484 nt
Filed under: uncultured bacterium
Lineage: Bacteria
Description: partial 16S ribosomal RNA
Rfam family: Bacterial small subunit ribosomal RNA
Source: RNAcentral